Molecule: long non-coding RNA, 3758 nt
Organism: Homo sapiens (human)
Lineage: Eukaryota; Metazoa; Chordata; Mammalia; Primates; Hominidae
Source: Ensembl
ACUGCCUGAGCUGGAGAAGCCCACUUAUAAGGAACGUUGUCAUGUGUCUCCAGGGGAGCCAGGACCGUCCGUGGGGUUGGCUGGCCCUUCACAAUGUGACCCCACUUCCAUGGGCUCCCUCUUUCCUCCUGCACAGCCCUGGGGUGCAGGGCUCCCUCUGGAAGGCAACAGCUUCCAGCGACUCAAAGGCCUGCAGGGUCGUGUGAUCCCAGCAUCACAGGUCUACCCAUAGAACCAGCAAUUUUAUCAGUAGUAUUAAUUAUCCUCUGCAAAAAGAGACACUGAAAACAAAGUUCCCUUUCUCAAAGAACUCUGAUGAGAAAUUAAAAAAUAUAUUUGACCUUGGAGGAUUCGUUGUUUUGGAAGCCACAGAGACCUGCCUCAUGCAACUCAAAAGAAGGAUUACAUCUGUGAUGUGUGGGACGGGCACGAGGGGCCUCUACAACCAAUCUACCCUGUGUCUUGACUUCUCUGAGAGUUGCAUUGGGUUCAACAGUGAUUCCAUUUCCUCCCAAAGGGCCACUGGGAGAUAAGCAGCAUCGAGCUUAUAUCCAAAAAGCUCUAUGUAGUUUCAAGGUGUUUCCAAAGCACCUCCUCUGAUCCUCAUACCCUCCAGGGUGGCAGGCAACACAGGGCAUUUGCGUUUGCUCUGAGAUGAAGAUACGACCAUAGGGUUGUACCCAGAAGUUCUCAUGACUGGACAUCCAGCUCUUUGCACCACACUCCGAAGGGAGAAGUGAUCCAGGUUGCCCUUCUGAGAGUGAAUAUCACUUCCAGCACAAGCGGCAGCCUGCAUCCCAGCCAGCCCUGCUGAUGCCUCCAAGGAUGUGAGUGAGAGUUGCCCACAUCAUGGGAACCCUUUGCUGGUCUGCAAAAUAUCCCAGAGGUUGUUCCUUUGAACCCUGUGUGGGGAGAGCUUUGACUUAAAUGUGUCAUGCAUAGAAUGAACCCCUGCAGGAGUGUGUCACCCCUUGGCUUCCCAGGAAGACCACCCGCUUUUCUGACACUGUCCCUGGAAUGACCAAUUGUGGCCUUUUUACAAACUCUUCAGGCUCGAGAAGUGCACAUCCUCAUUUACAAGGGACAUGUGGAAAGUCUUGAAAUUGGAUCCGAAAAGUGUGGUUUCUCCAAGAACUAAAGCUCCCGAAGCAGUUUUGAGAAGAGAGGGACAUAGGCUAGCAUGGAUUCUUUUCCUUUGCUCUUAGGAUGUGUGUGAUCCCGAAGAGUUUGCCGGCAGGCUAUGGGAACUCCAUCCCCACACACUCAGCCACUACCUCAGGUGGCAGGGGCCCUGGCUAGGGUUUGGCUGUAAUAUUCAGGACUGACUGAGCAUCCUGCACAGUGGUGAAGGGAGGGGUCCUCUGGAGACCAUGCCUCUCCUACAGUAAGCCCCACCCCCAGGUGGGAGGGAUGUGCCAGUGCCUUCUCACCCCCACGUGCCUGCAUGUUGCCCUUCGUUCUGCUGUUUCCUAAUCACACCUGCUCUCAGGAACAGGUGCAACACAGUCCCACUAGGUGCAUAGCUACUCACACUGUGACACGGACACUCCCAGGAACACCAGCCCCAUAAAGCCUCGGAGGAGAGGGCUAGAAUUCUAGGCAACCUUGAGCUAGGGAGGGCUCCUUUGAACUGGGAGAUUCUCAAUGUCUUUGGCGUCUUAUUCUUAUCAAAAGUCCCUCUGCAGAAGCCUCGUCUUGGGGAUUGGCCAGAGGGAAAAGUUUAUGGCAGCACUUGCAUCAAAAGACACCAGAGCAUCACAUCAACCAACGACCAACUGUAAUGAUUUCACUUUUAUCAGUAUACACAUGAUUAGAAAUUUUGGAAACUGGACCACUAUUCUGUUCUACUAACCAAACACUCAAUACCAUGAAUCAUGUGAGAGGACUGUUGCCCAUGUUAGGUUAUGUGACCUUUUUCUUUUGGCUGGGGAUGGCAUACUUCAUUGAUGGUGCAUGACAAGCUGGAGCUGCCUAAGCCCCUGUCCUUCCUCCAGGAGUCUGGAAUGGAAACUGACUUUGGGGAGCCUGAGUGGGGCAAUGACUCCCCAGCAGCUGGGGGUUCACUCUUCCUCUCAUGCUCUUGAUGGAGCUGGUGGUCUGGGGGUCUUACUCCUUGGAGGCCGUGUGGACCAUAAGGUCCACCACCCUGUUGCUGCUGCCAAAUUCAUCCCAGGAAAGGAGCCUGACAAAGUGGCCAUUGAAGGUAAUGCCAGUCGUGGCAUUGAAGGUAGAAGAGUGCAGGUGCCACUCUUAAAGUCAGAGGAGACAACUUGGUCCUCAGUGUAGAUCAGAAUGCCCUUGAGGGGGCCCUCCGAUACCUGCUUCAGCAUCUUCUCAUGCCAUCAUAUUUGGCAGCUUUCUGCAGAUGGCAGAUGAGAGCCACAACCAACAUAUUAUGGGUGGGAACACAGAAGGCCAUACCUGUGAGCCUCUUAUCUGGCUCAGGGAUGACCUUGCCCAUAGCCUCGGCCACACUAGUAGAUACAGGGAUGAUGUUCUGCAGCAGUCACGCCAAAGUUUCUCCAACAGUCUUCUGGGUGGCAGUAGUGGCAUGGACUGUAGUCAUAGAUGACCUUGGCCAAGGGUGCCAAACGUUGAUAGUGCAGGAGGCACUGCUGACAAUCUCGAGAAGAUAAUUCAUACUUCUCAUGGUUCACACCCACCACAAACAUGGAUCUGCACAAGAGCACAAGGGGCAAAGAUGACGACAGUUUUGGCUACUUCAAGUGAGCCCCAGUCUUCUCCGUAGUGCUGAAGACGCCAGUGGGCUCUGCACCAUAUUCAGCACCAGUGUUGCCUCAUUUGAUGUUGGCGAGAUCUUGCUCUUGGAGGAUGGAGAUGGGCUUCCCUUUGAUUACAAGCUUCCUGUUCUCUUUCCUUGACUGUGCCAUUGGACUUGUCAUGAAAUAUACUGGAACAUGUAGACCAUGGAGUUGAGGCCAGUGAAGAGAUCAUUGAUGAUGACAGUGUCCAUUUUGCCGAGUUGAAAGCUGCCCUGGUGACCAGGUAUCCAAUAUGGCCAAAUCCAUUGACUCAGACUCUCACCAUUGUAUCCUGGAUGAGGCUGACACUGCAUGAGCAGAUGGAGCUGUUUGUCGAACGAGGAAGAGAAGAGAGCCACAGCUUUUUUCUUUUAAAAACAGACUUCAUUUUCUGAGCAGUUCUAGAUUCACAGAAAAAUUGAGCAGAGUACAGAGAUAUCCCAGGUACCUUCCCCCCUACACAUGCACAGCUCCCCUCAUUAUCAACAUCCCCCACCAGACUGGCAUGUUUGUUUCAAUUAAUGAACCAACAUUGACACAUCUCUAUCACCCAGAGUCCAUGGUUUACCUUAGGGUUCACUCUCUGUGUUGGACAUUUUAUGGGUUUUGACAAAUGCAUUAUGACAUGCAUCCAUCAUUAUAAUAUCAGAGUAGUCUCACUGCCCUACAAAUCCUCUGUACCCUACCAGUUCAUCCCUUCCUCCCGCUCCCCCCUUGGCAACCACUGAUCUUGUUAUACUCUUCAUAGUUUCACCUUUUCCAGAAUGUCAUACAGUUGGAAUCAUACAGUAUGCAGCCUUCUCAGAUUGGCUUCUUUCACUCAGUAAUAUGCAUUUAAGUUUCCCCCAUGCCUUUUCAUGGCUUCGCAGCUCAAUUCUCUUUGGCGCUAAGUAAUACGCCAUUGUCUGCAUGUACCCCAGUUUAUCCCCUCACCUACUGAAGGAUAUCUUGGUUGUUUCCAACUUUUAGCAAAUACGGAUAAAGUGGCUCUAAACA